This 250-nucleotide ribosomal RNA is filed under the name uncultured bacterium. Its description in RNAcentral is "partial 16S ribosomal RNA". It matches the Rfam family "Bacterial small subunit ribosomal RNA", at positions 524 to 773 of the family's 1533-position model. The record is from RNAcentral.
UACAGAGGGUGCGAGCGUUAAUCGGAAUUACUGGGCGUAAAGGGCGCGUAGGCGGUCUUAUAAGUUGGUUGUGAAAUCCCUGGGCUUAACCUAGGAACUGCAAACAAUACUGUAAGACUGGAGUGCGGUAGAGGGUAGUGGAAUUUCCGGUGUAGCGGUGAAAUGCGUAGAUAUCGGAAGGAACACCAGUGGCGAAGGCGGCUACCUGGACUGACACUGACGCUGAGGCGCGAGAGCGUGGGGAGCAAAC